CCUACGGGGCGCAGCAGUGAGGAAUAUUGGUCAAUGGCCGGAAGGCUGAACCAGCCAUGCCGCGUGAAGGUCAGUGCCCUAUGGGCGUUAAACUUCUUUUGUGCGGGAGCAAUAAUGGUCACGUGUGGCCAGACGAGAGUACCGUACGAAUAAGCAUCGGCUAACUCCGUGCCAGCAGCCGCGGUAAUACGGGGGAUGCAAGCGUUAUCCGGAUUUAUUGGGUUUAAAGGGUGCGUAGGCUGUGAGGUAAGUCAGCGGGGAAAUGCCCCCGCUCAACGGGGUGAAGUGCCAUUGAUACUGCCUUGCUGGAAUGCGGAUGCCGUGGGAGGAAUGUGUGGGGUAGCGGUGAAAUGCAUAGAUAUCACACAGAACACCGAUUGCGAAGGCAUCUCACGAAUCCGCGAUUGACGCUGAUGCACGAAAGCGUGGGUAUCAAACAGGAUUAGAUACCCUAGUAGUC
RNAcentral lists this ribosomal RNA (460 nucleotides) under uncultured bacterium. Its description in RNAcentral is "partial 16S ribosomal RNA". It matches the Rfam family "Bacterial small subunit ribosomal RNA", at positions 338 to 795 of the family's 1533-position model. The record is from RNAcentral.